This 284-nucleotide small nuclear RNA is filed under the name Microcebus murinus (gray mouse lemur). RNAcentral's name for it is "7SK RNA (ENSMICG00000023679.3)". It matches the Rfam family "7SK RNA". From Rfam's summary of the family: 7SK was discovered as an abundant small nuclear RNA in the mid-70s but a possible function has only recently been suggested. Two independent studies have found that 7SK RNA binds the CDK9/cyclin T complex (known as elongation factor P-TEFb). Lineage: Eukaryota; Metazoa; Chordata; Mammalia; Primates; Cheirogaleidae. The record is from Rfam by way of RNAcentral.
GGAUGUGAGGGUGAUCUGGCUACAACAUGUCACCCCAUUGAUUCGACUGAUCUGGUUGGCUAGGCGGGUGUCCCUUUCCUCCCUCACUGCUCCAUGUGCAUCCCUUCUUGAAGCUGCGUGCUCAGUUGAAUAGGACGACCUUCCCCGCUAGAGGACAAGUCUUCUUCGUUCAAGGGUAUACGAGUAGCUGUGCUCCCCUGCUAGAACCUCCAAACAAGCUCUUAAAAAGAAAGCAUUGGAAUUGGACAGAUCAAAUUUUAAAAAAAAAUGAUAAAUAAGAGUGU